UGUGCAUUGAAAUGGAAGUGCACAGGAGGGGCACUAAACUGGAUAUGGGAUUCAGGAAAGGCUUCCUGGAAAACAUGGAGUGUUGGCUGAGAUCUGAAGGAAAAUAAAGGUCUCCUGCCAACGUCUUCCAUUGGGUGAACCCAAAGUGAAGCCAUAAGAAAUUGUAACAGCCACCCCCACCAUGAGCAACCCCCAGCCUGAUCAGCAGCCAACAACAUCAAGGGAAGAACCUCCACCAGCAAAAGAUUACAAUUCCCUCCCUGAAAGAUCAGGUGAUGGUUAACAUUUUAUAGCAAUAUUUUUAAAUUAAGGAUCUAAACCCCUUUGAGCACUCAGAUACCAGGCCAACGAAAGCUAGAGAAUUGAUGCUGAUCCUUGCUGGCUAUAGGCCUUCAUCACUUCAACCUGGAUUCUGCCAACUUAAGAUGACUUUUGUCCCAAUGUCAUGCUGCAUUCCCCAUUGUACAAGCCCUUUAUUUUGCUUUG
This is a long non-coding RNA of Herpailurus yagouaroundi (jaguarundi), 486 nucleotides long. RefSeq lists it as uncharacterized. The transcript has 4 exons. The record is from RefSeq and is a predicted model, not a curated record. NCBI's taxonomy places the organism in Eukaryota, Metazoa, Chordata, Mammalia, Carnivora, Felidae.